UACACUCCUACGGGAGGCAGCAGUGGGGAAUAUUGGACAAUGGGCGCAAGCCUGAUCCAGCCAUGCCGCGUGAGUGAUGAAGGCCCUAGGGUUGUAAAGCUCUUUCACCGGUGAAGAUAAUGACGGUAACCGGAGAAGAAGCCCCGGCUAACUUCGUGCCAGCAGCCGCGGUAAUACGAAGGGGGCUAGCGUUGUUUGGAUUUACUGGGCGUAAAGCGCACGUAGGCGGACUAUUAAGUCAGGGGUGAAAUCCCGGGGCUCAACCCCGGAACUGCCUUCGAUACUGGUAGUCUUGAGUUCGAGAGAGGUGAGUGGAAUUCCGAGUGUAGAGGUGAAAUUCGUAGAUAUUCGGAGGAACACCAGUGGCGAAGGCGGCUCACUGGCUCGAUACUGACGCUGAGGUGCGAAAGCGUGGGGAGCAAACAGGAUUAGAUACCCCAGUAGUCCCA
RNAcentral lists this ribosomal RNA (449 nucleotides) under uncultured organism. RNAcentral's name for it is "partial 16S ribosomal RNA". It matches the Rfam family "Bacterial small subunit ribosomal RNA", at positions 332 to 797 of the family's 1533-position model. The record is from RNAcentral.